This is a long non-coding RNA of Brassica oleracea var. oleracea, 1455 nucleotides long. RefSeq lists it as uncharacterized. The transcript is spliced from 3 exons. Lineage: Eukaryota; Viridiplantae; Streptophyta; Magnoliopsida; Brassicales; Brassicaceae. The record is from RefSeq and is a predicted model, not a curated record.
CUUAAGAGACACGUGUUCUCAUGAGAGAGUUUUGUGUUUAGCUCUCUCUCUCGACGGAUCUCUUCUCCUCUCUAUCCAUCCAAUCCACCAUCCCCGACGUCGUCCAAUCCCUCGAUCUAUCUCUCCGACUCAUAUCCUCCAAAACCCAAAAACCAGCACUUCUUAUUUUGUUCUGAUCUCUUCAACCUAUUCACUCCUCCGCCUCUGAAACCUCCAUCACCGUCCUCAUCAGCCACCACCACAUGUCCCUCACCAGCAGCGUGUCAUACCCGAAACCCUAGAUUUCCCUUCUCAGGUUUUCAAAUAUCUUAGCUCUCUGGAUGUUGAGGAUGCCAAAGAUGUGAAAUCUGGAUACUGUAUCACCUUUCACCUCAAUCCCAACCUCUACUCUGAGGAUGAAAACGUCACCAAGACUUUUGCCUUCCUAGAAGAAGGGACAACGAAAAUGGAGUAAGUAUUAAUGUCUUUUGCUAUUCAAGAAACGUUUUGGUUAUCUUGUUGAUCUGGAAAUCUUAUAAAGCAUCAUGUAUGGUUAGGCACGUACUAGUUUUUUAUAGCUUGUUGAGAAUAUGACAUCAAAACCAUUUUCUUUGGAGAAGAAAGUAAAUUUGAUGGAAGAUGUUGCAUGGUUUUUUUAAGAACCUUUAAUUUAGAGACUAGCAUUGGAGCAUUCUUUUUAUUGGUGUCUCUUAACUAAGUUUUUAACUAACAUUUAAUAUUUAAAAAGUCAUUAAGAUACCCUAAUGGGUUACAGGUUAAUGAUGCUCUAAGGAAUGGGUAAUAGUUCCCUUUGAUUAUUCAUGUAUAUAUUAAAGUUGAAGCAGGAAUUAUGAUUCAUUACUCUUUUCAAAUUUUUGUUUUCUGUUUAUCUCCAAUUUUAAAAGAAACUGGAGUUGAAUAUAACUUAUAAGAAGAUAAUAGAAAAUAUGUGAAAGUCAAUAAAGAUAUAAAGAAUCAGUUUGAAUUCACUGUGCGAAAAUGAAUCUAAUCAUUAGUGGAAAUGAUUAAUGGAAUAACAAUAACAUAGUGGUUGACUUUGAUAAUAAAGAAAAAGCGAGUCAAUGAUAUUAUGGCAUCGAAGUUGUCUCUUGGUGGUUUCAUUAAACAAGACAUCUCUUGUCAACUUCGUUUUAAAAACAAAAAAGACAUCUCUUGUCAACUAAAGGUUGUAUAUGCUUUUUUCUCUCUUCUACCGGCUAAUAUAACCUUUUCCAAUUAACAUUUUCAUACAUUUAUCAUAGUUUUAAAGACCCUGUUUAUCACUAAUAUUUUUAAAAGUAAGAAGUUAUCUAUCGGUUUUAAUUCAUUGUAACACAAAAAAAAACCAUAUGCUCAUGAUUCUGUUACGUAAAAAUAGAAUUCUACAACAAUUACACCAUUUUUUCCUGAGUUUCGUGUGCAUUGUAUAAAAUAUUUGAUUGAUAACACAUUCAAGAGGAAUAAGUGUUGAAUUUA